AGUGAACGCUGGCGGUAGGCCUAACACAUGCAAGUCGAACGGCAGCACAAGAGAGCUUGCUCUCUGGGUGGCGAGUGGCGGACGGGUGAGGAAUACAUCGGAAUCUACUCUGUCGUGGGGGAUAACGUAGGGAAACUUACGCUAAUACCGCAUACGACCUACGGGUGAAAGCAGGGGACCUUCGGGCCUUGCGCGAUUGAAUGAGCCGAUGUCGGAUUAGCUGGUUGGCGGGGUAAAGGCCCACCAAGGCGACGAUCCGUAGCUGGUCUGAGUGGAUGAUCAGCCACACUGGAACUGAGACACGGUCCAGACUCCUACGGGAGGCAGCAGUGGGGAAUAUUGGACAAUGGGCGCAAGCCUGAUCCAGCCAUACCGCGUGGGUGAAGAAGGCCUUCGGGUUGUAAAGCCCUUUUGUUGGGAAAGAAAUCCAGCUGGCUAAUACCCGGUUGGGAUGACGGUACCCAAAGAAUAAGCACCGGCUAACUUCGUGCCAGCAGCCGCCGUAA
This 506-nucleotide ribosomal RNA is filed under the name uncultured bacterium. RNAcentral describes it as "partial 16S ribosomal RNA". It matches the Rfam family "Bacterial small subunit ribosomal RNA", at positions 29 to 523 of the family's 1533-position model. The record is from RNAcentral.